UGGAUUAGUGGCGAACGGGUGAGUAACACGUGAGUAACCUGCCCUCUUCUUUGGGAUAACGGUCGGAAACGGCUGCUAAUACUGGAUAUUCACUCAUUGGCGCAUGUUGGUGGGUGGAAAGGUUUUUCUGGUGGGGGAUGGGCUCGCGGCCUAUCARCUUGUUGGUGGGGUGAUGGCCUACCAAGGCUUUGACGGGUAACCGGCCUGAGAGGGUGACCGGUCACAUUGGGACUGARAUACSGCCCARACUCCUACSGGAGGCARCAGUGGGGAAUUUUGCACAAUGGGCGCAAGCCUGAUGCARCGACSCCSCGUGAGGGAUGAARGCCUUCGGGUUGUAAACCUUUUUCGCUCAUGGGCAAGCCAUACUGGUGGGUGUGGGGAGGGUAGUGGGUAAAGAAACGCCGGCUAACUACCUGCCAGCAGCCGCGUUAAUUA
Molecule: ribosomal RNA, 438 nt
Filed under: Actinomyces sp. 12-068
Lineage: Bacteria; Bacillati; Actinomycetota; Actinomycetes; Actinomycetales; Actinomycetaceae
Description: partial 16S ribosomal RNA
Rfam family: Bacterial small subunit ribosomal RNA
Source: RNAcentral